Long non-coding RNA from Diceros bicornis minor, 335 nucleotides. RefSeq lists it as uncharacterized. The transcript is spliced from 2 exons. NCBI's taxonomy places the organism in Eukaryota, Metazoa, Chordata, Mammalia, Perissodactyla, Rhinocerotidae. The record is from RefSeq and is a predicted model, not a curated record.
GACUGACCUCCCACAAGGAGAGUUCCGCCCUGCACUGCAAAUCCCCCAAACACGGACUUCAGGGACCCGGCUCUGGGAGGUUUUCAGGAACAGGCUGACCACAGGCAGGAAACACACCUACAAGGUAUCCAUCACAGCUGACAGAAGCAUGGAACAAUAUGAUGCCUGGAGCCCGUCAUGCCUGGAGACCAACAUCCCUGGACCCCCUCCUUACUACCCAUUUUCCCUAUAUAACUGCUUUAAGAUUCUAUAAUCUUUGAAGAUGGGUUUUUGAGACAUUAGUCACCUGUCUUCCAAUUUGCCAGCUAAUCUAAUUAAACUUCAUUUCUCUCUAA